GGGCUGUUAGCUCAGUUGGUAGAGCAAGCGACUCUUAAUCGCUGGGUCGUAGGUUCGAAUCCUACACAGCCCA
RNAcentral lists this transfer RNA (73 nucleotides) under Candidatus Planktophila sp. RNAcentral's name for it is "tRNA-Lys". It matches the Rfam family "tRNA". From Rfam's summary of the family: Transfer RNA (tRNA) molecules are approximately 80 nucleotides in length. Their secondary structure includes four short double-helical elements and three loops (D, anti-codon, and T loops). RNAcentral also lists the same sequence under 1 other name. The record is from RNAcentral. Lineage: Bacteria; Bacillati; Actinomycetota; Actinomycetes; Candidatus Nanopelagicales; Candidatus Nanopelagicaceae.